UACGUAGGGUGCGAGCGUUAAUCGGAAUUACUGGGCGUAAAGCGUGCGCAGGCGGUUCGUUAAGUCAGCUGUGAAAGCCCCGGGCUCAACCUGGGAACUGCGGUUGAAACUGGCGAACUAGAAUCUGGCAGAGGGGGGUGGAAUUCCGCGUGUAGCAGUGAAAUGCGUAGAGAUGCGGAGGAACACCGAUGGCGAAGGCAGCCCCCUGGGCUAGCACUGACGCUCAGGCACGAAAGCGUGGGGAGCAAACAGG
This 253-nucleotide ribosomal RNA is filed under the name uncultured bacterium. RNAcentral's name for it is "partial 16S ribosomal RNA". It matches the Rfam family "Bacterial small subunit ribosomal RNA", at positions 524 to 776 of the family's 1533-position model. The record is from RNAcentral.